Molecule: ribosomal RNA, 285 nt
Filed under: uncultured Desulfobulbus sp.
Lineage: Bacteria; Pseudomonadati; Thermodesulfobacteriota; Desulfobulbia; Desulfobulbales; Desulfobulbaceae
Description: partial 16S ribosomal RNA
Rfam family: Bacterial small subunit ribosomal RNA
Source: RNAcentral
GCGCAACCCUUGCCUUUAGUUGCCAGCAGUUCGCGUGGCACUCUAAAGGGACUGCCGGUGUUAAACCGGAGGAAGGUGGGGAUGACGUCAAGUCCUCAUGGCCUUUAUGACCAGGGCUACACACGUACUACAAUGGCCGAUACAAAGGGCAGCGACACUGCGAGGUGAAGCCAAUCCCGUAAAAUCGGUCUCAGUCCGGAUUGGAGUCUGCAACUCGACUCCAUGAAGUUGGAAUCGCUAGUAAUCGUGGAUCAGCAUGCCACGGUGAAUACGUUCCCGGGCCUU